This 940-nucleotide ribosomal RNA is filed under the name uncultured Ascomycota. RNAcentral describes it as "eukaryotic LSU rRNA". The stretch from base 300 to 940 matches the Rfam family "Eukaryotic large subunit ribosomal RNA", at positions 1 to 655 of the family's 3401-position model. The record is from RNAcentral. Lineage: Eukaryota; Fungi; Ascomycota.
AUCGAUGAAGAACGCAGCGAAAUGCGAUAAGUAAUGUGAAUUGCAGAAUUCAGUGAAUCAUCGAAUCUUUGAACGCACAUUGCGCCCUUUAGUAUUCUAGAGGGCAUGCCUAUUCGAGCGUCAUUAUUAACCCUCAAGCUUGGCUUGUUAUUGAGUGCUUUGAUGACGGGUUUUUUCUCCCAUCACGCUUGAAAGAUAAUGGCGGUGUGAAAAUGACACCAGGUGCAGCGAGCUUUUUUGCAUACACUUAUGGUCUUGUCUUUUCAUCACUUUGCUUUAAAAAACAUUUUUUUAAAGGUUGACCUCGGAUUAGGUAGGAUUACCCGCUGAACUUAAGCAUAUCAAUAAGCGGAGGAAAAGAAACCAACAGGGAUUGCCUUAGUAACGGCGAGUGAAGCGGCAAUAGCUCAAAUUUGAAAUCUGGCUCUUUCAGAGUCCGAGUUGUAAUUUGUAGAGGAUGUUUCGGGCAAGGUUGUGGUUUAAAUUCCUUGGAACAGGAUGUCAUAGAGGGUGAGAAUCCCGUCUUGAGCCACGUACUGCGUCCAUGUGAAACUCCUUCGACGAGUCGAGUUGUUUGGGAAUGCAGCUCAAAAUGGGAGGUAAAUUUCUUCUAAAGCUAAAUAUUGGCCAGAGACCGAUAGCGCACAAGUAGAGUGAUCGAAAGAUGAAAAGCACUUUGAAAAGAGAGUUAAACAGUAUGUGAAAUUGUUGAAAGGGAAGCUCUAGCAACCAGACUUGUAUUAAUUAGUUCUACUAUGGUUUUCCAUGGCUUAUUCUAGUUGAUCAGGCCAGCAUCAGUUUUGGUGGUUAGUUAAAGGCCUUGGGAAUGUAUCUACCCUCCGGGGUCGACUUAUAGCCCUUGGUGUCAUGUAACCUACCGAGACUGAGGAACGCGCUUUAUGCUCGGAUGCUGGCGUAAUGGUUGUUAGCGACCCGUCUU